CCUACGGGCGGCAGCAGUGGGGAAUAUUGGACAAUGGGGGGAACCCUGAUCCAGCCAUGCCGCGUGUGUGAAGAAGGCCCUCGGGUUGUAAAGCACUUUCAGUGAGGAAGAACGCCUGGUGGUUAAUACCCAUCAGGAAAGACAUCACUCACAGAAGAAGCACCGGCUAACUCCGUGCCAGCAGCCGCGGUAAUACGGAGGGUGCGAGCGUUAAUCGGAAUUACUGGGCGUAAAGCGCGCGUAGGUGGCUUGAUAAGCCGGUUGUGAAAGCCCCGGGCUCAACCUGGGAACGGCAUCCGGAACUGUCAAGCUAGAGUGCAGGAGAGGAAGGUAGAAUUCCCGGUGUAGCGGUGAAAUGCGUAGAGAUCGGGAGGAAUACCGGUGGCGAAGGCGGCCUUCUGGACUGACACUGACACUGAGGUGCGAAAGCGUGGGUAGCAAACAGGAUUAGAUACCCUUGUAGUC
This 465-nucleotide ribosomal RNA is filed under the name Vreelandella stevensii. RNAcentral describes it as "partial 16S ribosomal RNA". It matches the Rfam family "Bacterial small subunit ribosomal RNA", at positions 338 to 795 of the family's 1533-position model. Lineage: Bacteria; Pseudomonadati; Pseudomonadota; Gammaproteobacteria; Oceanospirillales; Halomonadaceae. The record is from RNAcentral.